UACGUAGGGUGCAAGCGUUACUCGGAAUUACUGGGCGUAAAGCGUGCGUAGGUGGUUCGUUAAGUCUGAUGUGAAAGCCCUGGGCUCAACCUGGGAAUGGCAUUGGAUACUGGCGACCUAGAGUGCGGUAGAGGGGUGUGGAAUUCCCGGUGUAGCAGUGAAAUGCGUAGAUAUCGGGAGGAACAUCUGUGGCGAAGGCGACACCCUGGACCAGCACUGACACUGAGGCACGAAAGCGUGGGGAGCAAACAGG
RNAcentral lists this ribosomal RNA (253 nucleotides) under uncultured bacterium. RNAcentral describes it as "partial 16S ribosomal RNA". It matches the Rfam family "Bacterial small subunit ribosomal RNA", at positions 524 to 776 of the family's 1533-position model. The record is from RNAcentral.